CCCUUUAUUUAUAUUAAGCCAUUCUAUAGACCUAUAGAAGUUAUUAUGUUAAAACUAGUAAUAAGAAGANCGACCUUCUCUUUAAUGUAAGUGUAAAUCAGAAAGGACUAACCACUGAUAAUUAUUNGCUAAUGAACCUAAAACAGCAANCUCCACCAGAAAACCCUGUUUUACNNNNCUAGCGUUAACCUAACACCAGAGCAUCUCAAGAAAGAUUAAAAGAAAAAGAAGGAACUCGGCAAACAUUAACCUCGCCUGUUUACCAAAAACAUCGCCUCUUGNCAAAANUAUAAGAGGUCUAGCCUGCCCAGUGACUCAAUUCAACGGCCGCGGUAUCCUAACCGUGCGAAGGUAGCGUAAUCACUUGUUCUUUAAAUAAGGACUAGUAUGAAUGGCAUCACGAGGGUUAUACUGUCUCCUUUUUCUAAUCAAUGAAACUGAUCUCCCCGUGAAGAAGCGGGGAUUAUUAUAUAAGACGAGAAGACCCUAUGGAGCUUUAAACUANUAUAGCAAAAGCUUAUACANNNNUUAAUAUAUUUCANNNNNGAACUAUAACACCUAUUCUAGCAUAUAUGACUAUUAGUUUUAGGUUGGGGUGACCGCGGAGCAAAAAUUAACCUCCACAUUGAACGAAACCUNUUUCUGAGCAGAAAACUACAACUUCAAGCACCAAUAAACUGACAUAAAUUGACCCAAUAUUUUGAUCAACGAACCAAGUUACCCUAGGGAUAACAGCGCAAUCCACCUCAAGAGCUCCUAUCGACAGGUGGGCUUACGACCUCNGAUGUUGGAUCAGGGUAUCCUAGUGGUGCAGCCGCUACUAAAGGUUCGUUUGUUCAACGAUUAAAACCCUACGUGAUCUGAGUUCAGACCGGAGCAAUCCAGGUCAGUUUCUAUCUAUAANAGGGCUUUUUCUAGUACGAAAGGACCGNAAAAAGCAUGGCCAAUUCUUUAAGUAAGCCAUUUGAUAUAAUUUGUGACUUAAACUCAAUAAAAACCUAACCUUACACNNUUUAUUCAAGAAAAGAAAN
Molecule: ribosomal RNA, 1031 nt
Filed under: Dendropsophus carnifex (executioner treefrog)
Lineage: Eukaryota; Metazoa; Chordata; Amphibia; Anura; Hylidae
Description: partial 16S ribosomal RNA
Rfam family: Bacterial large subunit ribosomal RNA (bases 1-917)
Source: RNAcentral